UACGUAGGGGGCGAGCGUUAAUCGGAAUUACUGGGCGUAAAGCGUGCGCAGGCGGUUGUGCAAGACAGAGGUGAAAUCCCCGAGCUUAACUUGGGAACUGCCUUUGUGACUGCAUAGCUAGAGUGUGUCAGAGGGGGGUAGAAUUCCACGUGUAGCAGUGAAUUGCGUAGAGAUGUGGAGGAAUACCGAUGGCGAAGGCAGCCCCCUGGGAUAACACUGACGCUCAUGCACGAAAGCGUGGGGAGCAAACAGG
RNAcentral lists this ribosomal RNA (253 nucleotides) under uncultured bacterium. RNAcentral's name for it is "partial 16S ribosomal RNA". It matches the Rfam family "Bacterial small subunit ribosomal RNA", at positions 524 to 776 of the family's 1533-position model. The record is from RNAcentral.